GGGUUGUUAGCUCACUUGGUAGAGCAGUAAGACUCUUAAUCUAUUGGUCGCUGGUUCACAACCCACUAAAGUCCU
This 75-nucleotide transfer RNA is filed under the name Acinetobacter celticus. RNAcentral describes it as "tRNA-Lys". The record is from RNAcentral. Lineage: Bacteria; Pseudomonadati; Pseudomonadota; Gammaproteobacteria; Moraxellales; Moraxellaceae.